CGUUGGCGGCGUGGAUUAGGCAUGCAAGUCGUACGCAUAGCUUCGGCUAUGAGUGGCGCAAGGGUGAGUAAUGCGAAGGUAACCAACCCUGGUGUUGGGCAUAGCCGCGGGAAACUGCGGGUAAUUCCCAGCGACGUCACGAGAUGGCAUCAUCUUGUGACCAAAGGUGUGAUUCCGCUCUAGGACGGGGCCUUCGUGGUAUUAGGUAGUUGGUGAGGUAAACGGCUCACCAAGCCGACGAUGCCUACCGGGUGUGAGAGCAUGACCCGGCACACUGGAACUGAGACACUGUCCAGACACCUACGGGUGGCUGCAGUCGAGAAUCUUCGGCAAUGGGCGAAAGCCUGACCGAGCGACGCCGCGUGAGGGAUUGAAGGCCUUCGGGUUGUAAACCUCUUUCGUAGAGGAGGAAGGGGCCGUGAAGAACGGUCUUUGACCUAUUCUAGGAAGAAGCUUGGGCUAAGUUCGUGCCAGCAGCCGCGGUAAGACGAACCAAGCGAACGUUAUUCGGAAUUACUGGGC
This 522-nucleotide ribosomal RNA is filed under the name uncultured bacterium. Its description in RNAcentral is "bacterial SSU rRNA". It matches the Rfam family "Bacterial small subunit ribosomal RNA", at positions 34 to 559 of the family's 1533-position model. The record is from RNAcentral.